RNAcentral lists this ribosomal RNA (329 nucleotides) under uncultured Lachnospiraceae bacterium. RNAcentral's name for it is "partial 16S ribosomal RNA". The record is from RNAcentral. Lineage: Bacteria; Bacillati; Bacillota; Clostridia; Lachnospirales; Lachnospiraceae.
GGAGUUUGGGCCGUGUCUCAGUCCCAAUGUGGCCGAUCACCCUCUCAGGUCGGCUACUGAUCGUCGCCUUGGUGGGCCGUUACCUCACCAACUAGCUAAUCAGACGCGGGUCCAUCUUGUAUCAAUAAAUCUUUUCUCACAGUUCCAUGCGAAACCGUGGGCUUAUGCGGUAUUAGCAGUCAUUUCUAACUGUUAUCCCCCAGUACAAGGCAGGUUACCCACGCGUUACUCACCCGUCCGCCACUAAGUCAGAUCGGAACUAGGCCGAAGCUUCGUUCCAAAAUGCUUCGUUCGACUUGCAUGUGUUAAGCACGCCGCCAGCGUUCAUC